This 253-nucleotide ribosomal RNA is filed under the name uncultured bacterium. RNAcentral's name for it is "partial 16S ribosomal RNA". It matches the Rfam family "Bacterial small subunit ribosomal RNA", at positions 524 to 776 of the family's 1533-position model. The record is from RNAcentral.
UACGUAGGGUGCGAGCGUUAAUCGGAAUUACUGGGCGUAAAGCGUGCGCAGGCGGUUUUGUAAGCCAGAUGUGAAAUCCCCGGGCUUAACCUGGGAAUGGCAUUUGGGACUGCAAGGCUCGAGUGCGGCAGAGGAGACUGGAAUUCCUGGUGUAGCAGUGAAAUGUGUAGAUAUCAGGAGGAACACCGAUGGCGAAGGCAGGUCUCUGGGCUGACACUGACGCUCAUGCACGAAAGCGUGGGGAGCAAACAGG